Molecule: long non-coding RNA, 308 nt
Filed under: Trifolium pratense (red clover)
Lineage: Eukaryota; Viridiplantae; Streptophyta; Magnoliopsida; Fabales; Fabaceae
Description: long non-coding RNA (TPRA_LNC001443)
Source: RNAcentral
UGUGUUUAGGGUUUUAGUAUUGUUAAUUGUGUUCCUCUUCUUGUAUUACCUUGAUGCAAGAUUAAGGACUGUGUGUUACUGUGUUGUAAUAUCUCUGGAGCUUAUAAGCAAGGAGAUAGUGUGUAUGAACCAUUCCUAAGCUUUGAAGUACAGAAUUGGUGGAUGUUUUAAGAAGUGUGUCUUCAUCUGUAAACUGUAACGUGUACGAUCACAGUGGCUGUGAUUAAGAGGAGUUGAGCGGAGGUUCUCAUACCUAGGUGUGACUUAGGUAGAAUAUAGCACGGGUGGUGAUUAGGUGAGAAGUCAUA